RNAcentral lists this unclassified non-coding RNA (263 nucleotides) under uncultured fungus. RNAcentral describes it as "partial contains 5.8S ribosomal RNA, internal transcribed spacer 2, and large subunit ribosomal RNA". Lineage: Eukaryota; Fungi. The record is from RNAcentral.
AACGCACAUGGCGCCUUCCAGUAUCCUGGGAGGCAUGCCUGUCCGAGCGUCGUUUCAACCCUCGAGCCCCCGUGGCCCGGCGUUGGAGAUCUGCCACGGCAGUCUCCCAAAACCAGUGGCGGACCCGAAGGCCCUCUCCUUUGCGCAGUAGCAUCAGCCUCGCAUCGGGAUCCCUCGGCGUCCUGCCUCUAAACCCCCCACAAGCCCGCUCCGGCGGCACCAAGGUUGACCUCGGAUCAGGUAGGAAUACCCGCUGAACUUAA